RNA transcript from Mus musculus (house mouse), 4306 nucleotides. It is a transcript of the gene named ring finger protein 138, with no coding region annotated. The transcript is spliced from 8 exons. NCBI's taxonomy places the organism in Eukaryota, Metazoa, Chordata, Mammalia, Rodentia, Muridae. The record is from RefSeq and is marked validated.
GAAGAAAAGAAAAAAAUUGUAUGGAAGAAAAAUCUCUGCGGAAAGGGGGACAAGAAACGCAAUCCAUAUGGCGGGACAGCUCUGGAGACCACCGCCCAUUGCUUUCGUCACAAUCCGCCGCCGCACCUGCCCGGGUUGCCAAAGGGGCCGUGCUGGCCAUCACCGCCCCCGCCCUGCCGUGGGCAGUGGCCCGAGGGCGGGCUGCGAGCCGCGCAAUGUCGCAGACUGCGGCUCCGGGGGUGGGGGCUUCACGGUGCUGCACGAGCCUCACUCGGGCUUAGUCCCAUGAGGCCUGCGCACCCCGGCACUGAAACCACGAGACGGCGCAGGACCACCGCUCUUCCGGCCCGUGACGGAGACCGAGCGUGAGGCGCGCCGGGGCUCAGGGCAUCUGAGGGCCCUCUCCGGGCGUCGGGCUCAGGGCCGCCACCACCACCACUACUACCACCACCACCUCGGCUCCUGCCGGCGCCGUCGCCUCUCCCGCCCACCCCUCGCCAUGUCCGAGGAACUUUCGGCGGCCACGUCCUACACGGAAGAUGAUUUCUACUGCCCUGUCUGUCAGGAGGUGCUCAAGACGCCGGUGCGGACCGCGGCCUGUCAGCACGUUUUCUGUAGAAAAUGUUUCCUGACUGCAAUGAGAGAAAGUGGAAUACAUUGUCCCCUAUGUCGUGGAAGUGUGACUAGAAGAGAAAGAGCAUGUCCGGAACGGGCCUUAGAUCUUGAAAAUAUCAUGAGGAGGUUUUCUGGUAGCUGCAGAUGCUGUUCAAAAAAGAUUAAAUUCUAUCGCAUGAGACAUCAUUACAAAUCUUGUAAGAAGUAUCAGGAUGAAUAUGGUGUUUCUUCUGUCAUUCCAAACUUUAAGAUUUCUCAAGAUUCAGUAAGGAGCAGUAAUAGGAGUGAAACAUCUGCAUCUGAUAACACAGAAACUUAUCAAGAGGAUACAAGUUCUUCUGGGCAUCCUACCUUUAAGUGUCCCUUAUGUCAAGAGUCAAAUUUCACCAGACAACGUUUAUUGGAUCACUGUAAUAGUAACCACCUAUUUCAGAUAGUUCCUGUGACAUGUCCUAUUUGUGUGUCUCUUCCUUGGGGAGAUCCUAGCCAGAUUACUAGAAAUUUCGUUAGUCAUCUAAAUCAAAGACAUCAGUUUGAUUAUGGAGAAUUUGUGGUAAGUGAGUUCUUCAAGAUUAAGAAAGUUAAUUUAACUCUUUCAAUCUGGAUUUGAGUUUUCAAGCAAGUUGUGGAAUCAGACUGCUUGGAUAAAGAGCAAGUUGAUGUAUUUUAGUAGUAACAUUGUUAAGCUUUGUGGAAGUUCUGAGAAUUGAAUUUAUUGUUUAUACUAGAGAGAUAAUUACUGGAAAAAUAAACCCCUUAAUGCAAAAUGAAGGUUUAAGUAAAAAUUAUUUAGAGUUAAGAGAAAUUAUACCUCCUUGAAAGUAAAAUUGGCAUAACCUGUGUGGGAAGAUAUGUUUCAAAUAUAGAGUAAGCACAUGAGGCACAAUUACAAACCAAACCAAAGAAACUGAUCAUCACCAGGUUGUCCAUUUAGGAAGGGCAGCUAGGGCCCUUGGACCAAAUGGGCCAGUUUCUUCUUCUCAUAUUUAUGAAAAAUUUUCUGUUAUUAGUUGUAAAAUUGUACUUUAUUUGGCUUAUGUGUAGUUAAGGUCUUAUUUAAUAAACGGUUAAUUCCAGUAAAGAGUAAUAGAUGCUUGUUUUCCUGUUUGGGUAAACACAGGCAUGCAUAAUUUUUAUUUUUAUGGAAUUUGCAGUUUUAGUCUACUAUUUUGGAAUAAUUUAAAUGUUCGUAAAAUUUACAUGUGCCACUUCAGUGAUUUUAGGAGGUAAUUGUAUUUUACUAUUACGUUUCCAUUUUAGGAGCAAUUAUUGCGUCUGGAGAGCUAUAUUUAGAAGAGCAUAGUAGUUUUUUUCAGCCAUAAUUUAAUCUAGUUUUUUGUUUUACCUUGCUGUAGAAAACUGUAUUUCAGUUGUCAAGUCAAAGUCCUGAUAUCUUUUAAAGCUAACCCAUGUGACAUAAAAUUAACAGCAAAUAAUGUUUUUUAAAGAUAAAGGUUUUGUUGUUGCUGUUGUUUUGCCUGGUGUGUUUGUUUUGCUGCGAAGGAUUGGACUCAGGGACUCAGUACAUUCUAAACAGCCAUUCCACACUGAGAAUCUUCAGCUAGAUGAGGAAACCCAAUAUCAAACUGCUGUGGAAGAGUCUUUUCAAGUAAACAUGUGACAUGUAUAGACAUCUCUGCCUCCUUGCAACCUACAAGUGCCAUCUUUAAGGAGAAGACAUGAAGUCACCAUUUUCAGUAAUUUGCUGUGCAUAUUAAUAAAAAUAAUAAUUCAGUCUACUGUAUUAGGUUUUUAAUUGAAAAUAAAGGUGGGCCACCCUAAUACCAUUCUCUAGACAGUUACUUUAACAGCAUGGAAAGGGUUGUAUUUCACUUGUGUGGUGAAAAGAGAAUCUCUGUUGUCUUUUUCUUCCUUGUAUUACAUAUUCUCAAUGUUUCAUUAAGUUGUUUUUGGUAUUUGAUAUAGUUCCUUCUGUUUAGUACAGAGAUAACAGCAAAUUCUGAACGAUGUGAUUCUUAAAAAGCUAAUAAACCUGAGCCAUUUGUCAGAGCUGUAGAAUGGAAACUUGAAGUGUGAAGUGGGAUAAUCCAAAGGGAUUUUUUUUUAAAGUAUAGAUUCUAGCUGAGGAAUUCAACAAUAAGAAAGUUGUAUUUAUGUAAUGUUUAGUAUUUUUGAAGACUAGUGAGAUUUCUUUAAUAAUUUUUACUUUGAAAGCAUAUUGUACAAAUGUUUCUUCUUUUGCUAUUAGAAGAACAUCAAGAGAAGUUUCCUUUGGUGGUUAGUUUGUUAUUUCAAUCUAGGUUGAAUAAUUUGUAAGCCUAAAUGUUAUAUACCACAGUUCUUUGUAGUCAGUAUUUCUCACUGGGUGAUGAAACUUUUCAGCCAGUGAAUGAUACAUUCAAUUAGUUUUUUAAAAAUCCAAAGUUGCAGAUGUAUGUGGAUAUGUACAUAGACUUUUGCAUGUAUAUAUACACAUAUAUAUCUUUGCCUAGAGUUUGUCAGGUUAUGUAUAGAAUUUCUAUUAAAAAGUUUUAAUAAUGGACAAGCAAUAUAGGAUUGAAGUAUUUAUCUCCUUUGUUUAAAAUUUUGUAUGUUACCAAGUUUUUAAAACAGUAAGCCAAAUACUAUGUGGUACAGUUGGCUGUUAUUACACCUGAAAAAUGUUAAAUGGUGCUCACUUGUUACGUUUGAAAAUGAUGCAUAACUGACGUGUGGUGAGAGAUUUUACCAGCUACUGUUUCACUACAUUUUAGUCAAAACAAAGUUUGUUCUUAAUCUUUGGUAUAAAGUGUUGUAGAGAAGGCCAAGUCACAAAGUAAAGGGUGAAGGGGGAAUUCUGACAUUCCACACUAACAUAACACUGUUAUGCUUUCUUUAAAAUAACUAACCGCAAAAGAAAAUCUCUGAAGUAGUUUGCUGCUAAUAUAUACAUAUAUUGUAAAAAAAAAAGGUAUAUUUUGAUUUUCUUAAUACCCUUGUUGACUUUUCUACAAUGAACAUUUUUAAACUUGAUUUAAUAAAAAUGUUAAUUUUGGAUGUGCAGUUUUGUAAAAAACCUUUUUCAGUUAAACGGUAAUGACUUUAUUUAUGUUCAGUAAUAUAGACUCACAAGAAGCCAUACAUCUUAAUGCCUUUUUUUCUGUUGUUUCUUGAGCGUGAUGUUUACUGUGUUCUCUAGCACUUUGAGUUGACAUACAAGAGUAAUUCUAGGAACAUCUAUAUGAUGAACCCUUUAAAAGGAGACUUCUGUCCACAGUCCUCUAGUUUAAAGCAAUAACUUGGAUACUUUUAAAGUUUUAUUUAGCCAGUGUGCUCCUAAAUCAUCCUGGGAUGUACAAACUUAAAGGGAAACUUGUACUAGAGAGGGUUCCUGUUUUGAAGUCUUGUGGAUGAGUUAUAUUAAUAGAUUAAUAGCUUUUUCAUGAGAAUUAUCUUUUUUUUUGCAUUAGUAACUUCUUAAAUAUAGAAAAAACUUUUUAAUUCUUCUUUUGUCAGUGGAUUAAGAAUAAGGAUUGACUUUAGAAUUUAAUUUAUGGGGGCGCACCUCAGUAGUCAUGUUUAAUAGCUAUCAGGAUAAAGGAGAGAAACUAUAGCAAUAUGCUGAUACAUCAGUUUCACAGUACCAGUUAGAAAAGCCACUUCUCCUUCAACUUAGUUUAGUUUAUGUCCAUAAACACAGUGUUGAUUGAGAUGUAUUGCUUUACUUUUCAAUUAAAAUGGUUUUCUCCUA